RNAcentral lists this ribosomal RNA (275 nucleotides) under uncultured bacterium. RNAcentral describes it as "partial 16S ribosomal RNA". It matches the Rfam family "Bacterial small subunit ribosomal RNA", at positions 793 to 1055 of the family's 1533-position model. The record is from RNAcentral.
GUCCACGCUGUAAAACGAUGAUCACUAGACGUCAGACCUGUUUUUACAGGAUUGGUGUCGUAGCUAACGCGUUAAGUGAUCCGCCUGGGGACUACGGUCGCAAGAUUAAAACUCAAAGGAAUUGACGGGGGUCCGCACAAGCGGUGGAACAUGUGGUUUAAUUCGACAAUACGCGAGGAACCUUACCUAGGCUUGACAUGCUUUUGACAGUUGUGGAAACACAAUCUUCCGGGUUUUUAAUUCGGACAAUUGCACAGGUGCUGCAUGGUUGUCGU